This 526-nucleotide ribosomal RNA is filed under the name Anastrepha flavipennis. RNAcentral describes it as "partial small subunit ribosomal RNA". The stretch from base 394 to 526 matches the Rfam family "Bacterial large subunit ribosomal RNA", at positions 2473 to 2605 of the family's 2925-position model. Lineage: Eukaryota; Metazoa; Arthropoda; Insecta; Diptera; Tephritidae. The record is from RNAcentral.
AAACAUGUCUUUUUGAAGUAUAUUUAAAGUCUGACCUGCCCACUGAUUAAUUUUAAAUGGCCGCAGUAUUUUGACUGUGCAAAGGUAGCAUAAUCAUUAGUCUUUUAAUUGAAGGCUGGUAUGAACGGUUGGACGAAGUAUAAGCUGUUUCAUAUAAAUUUAUUAUAGAAUUUUAUAUUUUAGUUAAAAAGCUAAAAUUUUAUUAAAAGACGAGAAGACCCUAUAAAUCUUUAUAUUUAAUGAUAUUUAAAUUUUUUGGAUUUAUUUUAUUUUUAUAUUAUUAAAUAUUUUGUUGGGGUGAUGUUAAAAUUUAAUGAACUUUUAAUUUUUAAAAUCAUUAAUUUAUGAAUUUUUGAUCCAAUAAUAUUUAUUAUAAGACUAAGUUACUUUAGGGAUAACAGCGUAAUUUUUUUUGAGAGUUCAUAUCGAUAAAAGAGUUUGCGACCUCGAUGUUGGAUUAAGGUAUAAUUUUGGGUGUAGCUGUUCAAAUAUUAAGUCUGUUCGACUUUUAAAACCUUACAUGAUC